AACCAGAAGGCGCAAUGAAAGUGAAGGCACGGUUGCCGUGCUGAGGUGAGAGCUGUCCCNUGGCAGCACAUCAUCGACCGAUCCCAUCCGCACCCCCGUGGUGCGGCGGGAUUCGAGUAAGAGUGUACCUGUUGCGACCCGAAAGAUGGUGAACUAUGCCUGAAUAGGGUGAAGCCAGAGGAAACUCUGGUGGAGGCCCGUAGCGAUUCUGACGUGCAAAUCGAUCGUCAAAUUUGGGUAUAGGGGCGAAAGACUAAUCGAACCAUCUAGUAGCUGGUUCCCUCCSAAGUUUCCCUCAGGAUAGCUGUAGCCCGAAGCAGUUUUAUCAGGUAAAGCGAAUGAUUAGAGGUAUCGGGGAAGAAACUUCCUCGACCUAUUCUCAAACUUUAAAUAGGUAAGAAGUCCGACUUGCUUAAUUUGAAGCCGGACACAGAAUGCUGGGUUACUAGUGGGCCAUUUUUGGUAAGCAGAACUGGCGAUGCGGGAUGAACCGAACGCUGAGUUAAGGUGCCAAAGUCGACGCUCAUCAGAUCCCACAAA
This 540-nucleotide ribosomal RNA is filed under the name Thorectandra excavatus. RNAcentral's name for it is "eukaryotic LSU rRNA". It matches the Rfam family "Eukaryotic large subunit ribosomal RNA", at positions 705 to 1218 of the family's 3401-position model. Lineage: Eukaryota; Metazoa; Porifera; Demospongiae; Dictyoceratida; Thorectidae. The record is from RNAcentral.